Molecule: long non-coding RNA, 221 nt
Filed under: Amborella trichopoda
Lineage: Eukaryota; Viridiplantae; Streptophyta; Magnoliopsida; Amborellales; Amborellaceae
Description: long non-coding RNA (ATRI_LNC002628)
Source: RNAcentral
AACAAAAAAUUCAAGCAUGAAUCUUUGCUAAUUUCCAGGGUUACAAGGAAUAUUAGUCAUCCUUAACCAUGCUCCAAAUGAAUACAAAAUUAAUAUCCUCAACAACAAUUCCUUUGUAAAUUGGAAUUACUAAGAAGAAAGUGCAUAUGAAAACAAAAUGGAAGCAAAUUUGGAUUUUGAAAAAAUACAAUCAUUGUGCAUUCAUAACAAUUAAAUUUCCA